GCCCCGGCGCCUUGGGAAAGGAUUAACGUCGGGUCUGGGCGAGCUGGUACGAAAGGGUGUGGAUGAUGUUUCUCUUUCCUCUCAACUCUUUGAGAGUGGGUCAGAUGGAGCCCCAGCUCCGGGACCUCGGUCUGUUCCUCCGCAGUACUGAGGACAGAGGGACGAAAGGCAGAGCCCGGCGCCCUGUCUCUAGCCAGCACAUCCCUCCACGAACGAGCGUACGGGAGACCGGCCCUCGCUCCCCCAGCCCCCAUGCUUCCCUCUCCAGUGCUCACCCCGUUAGCCGCCCUCGCGCAGCCCGCGGCCGCUGCGCGGUCCCGAGGCGCGGGAGAGCCGGGGGGGCCUGGGCCCGGGGUGCGGACUGCUGCUGGCUCAGGGGCCGGCUUCUCCAGGUCUGCGCAGGUGGCUGGACUCGCCGCGGCUGCUGCGCGCGGGGCGACCUCCUGGCCUCCGCCUCGGCGGGCCUGCUGGGGCUCCCCCAGCCAGGUUGGGGCCGCUCCGCGGGCGGCAAACCCGGAACGGGCACGUUCUGCUCCCGGAACAGACUGUACACCUUGGCUGUAUCCGCUGCGGGGUGGCUGCCCCCGGGGCGCCGCAGCCGACUCGCGUCCCUUCCAGCCGGCUCGUAUCUGCCCAACGGGUCCCUCUGAGCAUGACCCAUGCCCACGAAGAGAGCCAGGGGGAAUAAACAUGGAGGAUCUGGAAUAAGGUCACUCAAGGAGACAGCGUGUGUCCAAGAAGUGAAUGAAAUCCAGUCCUCCAGCCUGCGGCUCAGAUCCAUUUCCUAGAUUCCCAUCCAGCCCCUCACUCCCUCGGGAUUCGAUGAGCUUCUGAUUGAUGCACUGCGAACACUUAUGGAGUCUACUAUGAUCCAAGCGCUGUGCUAAGCAUGCUACGUGAAUUGGCUCCUUUAACCAAAGAAAGGAGGUGUUGUGAUUUCCACGUACACAAAGGAGGAAACUGAGGCUGGGAAUAGUUACUGGCUUGCCCACGAUCACACAGCUGAUAAGCAGCUGAGGAAGUGUUCCAACCUUGGUCGUCGGCCACCUGAGCCCAAGCUUCUAAGACUGCACCACGUUGCCUUCACUCUGGGCUUGAGCCACAGCCGCCCUCCUGACAAUUGAGUGGUACCUUUUCCAGCCAUCUCUGCAGCUGUCCCCACCUAAGACUCUCCACCGCACGUUCCCCAGCCUCUUCCCUGACGGCUAGCCCACCACUCAAUUCCCAGGGGAUGGGUAUCAGAACUUUCUGUUCCCCUCUCCCUUCCCUGCUCAGGAAAAGAAGGGGAGCUAACUGUUUCCAGCAAGGCCCCUGACUCACCACGUGUCACUUCCCUACCCCUGAUUCCCGCUUCCCCCCUAAAGAGGCACAAAAUGUUGCUAGGCCAACUAACCCACCCCUUGGGUCUGGGGAGGGAAAUCGUCUCUGGAAACCCUGCAGAGAGAGUCCCAAGGGGCUACUAAAAAGAUUCCAGUGGGGAAAGUUUUGCCUGGACACGUGCACCAUGAGAGGGGAUGGCAGUCUGCUAGACACUCGAGGCGACCUCAUUGCUUACCCAUGUCUUGGAAUAACGCCGGCAGCCAGAGAGCUACCAGAACCUGAACUAACUUGGUCAAUAAGGACCAAAAACAAGGACCGCAUUUCUGCUCCCUUUGCUGAGACCCAGACUCUGGACAGAAUUCCAGGGAUUUUUCUUCCUUGGAAGUGACUGGACCUCCAGUCCUGAAUUCCUCUCCCCAGGAGAGCUUGUUACCCUGCUUAGAACAAAUAACACAUUUCCUGGUUAAUCAGUGGGCGGAAGAGCUGAAGGAAGGUUGAUUGGGCCCCCAGCCUUCCAGAUGGGAGCAGCUCACGGGCUCAGACGUCCUUGUCCAGAGACCGGGCAGCUGGGAUCCUGCACCGUGCAGCCUCAGCCUCCAGUCUGGAAGGUAGAGGCUGUAUGAAAAGGCGCCAGUUCCCUCCUGCUCAAGGCCUCCAAGGCCCACAGGGGCUGCCAAGACCACGCCACCUCAGACGCCGUGGCCUGGCAACCCCCCAGUACUCACAGCCACCCUGCUCUGGUCUGCCAGUACUGUCCCCUCCGGGUGCAGUGAAUGUUUCUGUCUUCGGUGAGCUCAGCUCUCAGCUAUGCUUGGCUUCUAUUUUCCCAUCUGAAAAUAGAGAUAAUGAUGCUUUUCUUGCCACCCCACCUUCAGGGCAAAUAGAUAACCAGCCCUAUCUACCCUGUGAUGGGAGGGGUUCAAUGACUGCUACUUUCAUUUGCCAGUUGAUAUUUCUGGAGCUUUUGAAAGGUACCAGGCACUGUGCUAAGUGUUUUACAGUCAUUCUCUUUUAAUCCUCAUAAUAACCUUCUGAAGAAAGUACUAUUAUUUCAUCAUGUAGCAGAAGAGGGAAUGAAAGCUCAGAGAGGUAAAAUGACUUACCCACAAUCACAAAGCUAGUACUUGGUUACACUAGGAUUCACUCCUGCUUUUCCUGGUUCCAGACACUAUACACAGGCCAGCUUCCAGAGGAGCAUUUCUCAGGAAUCGCACCUCUGGCUGCUGAUGUCUGGGAACCAGAAGCAUUCACAGCCUUUUGUGGUGUGGUGUGGGGUGUUUGGUGCUGAUGGACACAUGAAAUGGCUGUCACGAGCUGGCCCCCAUCAAGCACAUCCCACUCUUCUCAGGCCUAUUUACAGCUAGGGGUCUAUUUUAGGUCAAGGGCAGGCAAAAGUCAUCAUGGGGAGUUUCACUGAAUCUGAUUCCCUCUCACCAAGGGGAAGGAAGGAAAUAAGCUUACCCUACAUCAAGUCGUUCUCCAUUUCUGAGUAAGCCUCAUCUCAACCCUCAGCUUUUCUCUUUAGAGCACAGAUAGAGCAUCUACGUGGCCCUGUGAGGUAGGCAUCGUAACUUCCACUUCACAGACUCAGAGGGGUGAAGUCUCUUGCUCAAGGUCAUACAGCCAGGAGUCGAGCCAGGAUUCAACUAAAAGGUCUGACUGGCUCCAAAGUCCGUGCUGUUUCCACUACAGCACACUGCACUCACUCCAGGAUGUCCUGCAAUGAUGUGGAAUGGCAGCUCUUCAAAAUAACUGAUUUCACUCCGUUUCCCUUCAUUUCCAAUCCUUGAUACAAAGGUGGGCUGACCUGAAAGCUCUGUGCAUUUAGCUAAAGUUCAGACCACGUUUCCUAUUUACCUGCAUAAAUCCCUUCAGCUUCUGGCUGGAGUGGAAUCCUCUAGAACUCCUGGGGGCUGAAGCUUAACUUCUCCCCGAGCUGAGUCUCUGAAGACCUGAGCAGGAAAACGAUGUGAGCAGCCCGGAAGGUCUCCUUCUUUUAAUUCCCCCUGUAAGACCACAGGGGUUUCAGGUGCUCUCCUGGCGAUGAGGGAGUUAUUCAGAUAGGGACAGAUUACACACUGUAUUAUCCUUUCCAAAUGCCCAGGGAGAAAGCCCUGUGGGCUGAAGGACGAUGCAGCCCUAUCCUGGAUUCUGGAACGGCUGGGCAGGGAUUUGAGGACAAGUUGAGCAGGAAACAAUUUUCCUCAGCUGUUGCUGAGGUCUCCCAGCCUGUCCCCAUCUGGCUUCCUGCUGGGACACGGCAGCAUCCCUCACAGCCCAAGGGAUAGGGGUUUGGGGGGACAGAGCACAGGGGCUGCCGUAGGGUCUUUCCCAGAAUAAGCCCAUAAGCAGCUCACUCUUGAUCAAGACAAAGAAAGAGGGAUGACACCUUCUGCCACCACCUUCUGAUGUCCAUUUUCCCCUAAUUAUACACUGAGAAUCGGGAUACUCAGUGAGGUUUUCCCUGGUGCCCUGCAUCCCCUCUCUCUAGGACCCGAAGGCCCUUAGGGACAGGCCCAAACCCCCAGACUCCCCGGGACAGGGUACAGACACCAGGCUUCGGUGGGGUGGGAGGCGGGUAGGAGGAGGUGCAGAUCCCAGUGGGCCCCAGCCAGUCUACAUGACUCAUUCCUUGUUUCCGUCCACUCUGGUCUGAGUGCCUUGGCCCAGGGGCCUCGGGGAGGUUGUAACACAGGCUGGCCCCUCGCCCAUCGGGACUCAGCAGACAAAAAUUAAAGAUCUCACUCCUCAGGAACUCACACAGACAGCAGAGGCAUGCUCUGUGCUCUGCCUCACCAGACCAGACCUCAGGCCGGAGGGGGCUGAUGGCCAAGGGAGGGAGGAAAGGCAUCUCUGGCCCCUCCCCUCCUCCUCACCCUCCACCUCCAGUCCUGAAGCCCUGGCCGCCACGCACUUUCUUCUCACUCCUGCUCAGGCCCUGGCGUGAAGAUCCUGGUGCCACCAGCACCUCCUCAGCAGCACUCCGCCCCUCCCCACCUCUGCCCGAAGACAGCAGUGAGGGAGAAACAGACUUGUAAACAACGAAUCAUACAUUUUUCUGGUUGCACAGGGUUGAUGACACCAAAAACCUGCUCAACAGUCUUCAAUGGCUCCCCACUACCUCACAAAUCAAGCCCAGACUUCUUACUGGCCCCGCACCCAAGCGGGUCUCAUACCCUUCCCCUCCUGUUUGCAGAUACUCAACACAGUCCCACUCACCCAGAAUUACCCCCAGUUUCCCCACUCACGUCCCCUUACCCAGAUUCCUCGGCUCACACCAUUUUCGUCACCUGGGAUGUUCUUCCCACCCCUGCCUGCCUGUCCUUUAAUUCCCAUCUGAAAACUCCCACUUCUUCCAAGAAGACUUCCUAGAACCCCACCGCCAAGUCCAGAAAGCUCGCUCCCUCCACUGAACUCCUGUACCGCCCUCUGCCCCGCAUGACUAGUCCACCACUACAGGUCCCGGAGAAGUGGGAAAUCCACGGGGCUUUGGAGUGCCACUCGGCACCAUCAUUCACCAGCUGUGUCUCUUUGGCUAAAGUGACUUAACCUCUUUGAGCCAGUUUCCUCACCAGCAAGAGACUGUCAUAGUAGUCCUUUAAAGCACAGCGCCUAGAUACAACUGUAUUUACCAACACAACACUCCGGACCACAGCCGACUGGACCAGGGAUGAACACAUGACCCGGGGCAGCCUUUACAUUGGCUGGUCAGUGAGCUAAGGCUUCUGUACCUAAGACUUCUGUGGUCUGAUUUGAAUGCAUAUGUCAUUGGUUACUGGCCAAAUAAGAUCCUCUCUUGAAAAUUUGAACUAAGCCACUUGAUUUUGAAAGCCAAGCCCUGGGAUUAAAACAACAGGUAUGUCCUCAUUCCCGAGAGCUCACAGUCGAAGGGGGUCCAUAUAACCAGAGAACAACAAAGCCGAAGAGGUAUAAUGACUUGCCUGGGGUCACGCAGCUGGACAGUAACACAGAGAGGGCUGAAGCUCAGGUCUCUGGACCUGAAUUUGGUCCAGGGUAGUGGGCUUCUCUGACGGGCUCAAAAGGCAGUGGCCCUGAGCUGAUUGCCUGAAGAAGACCAAGGCUCCACCGUGCCCUGCAUCAACCUGUUCUGGGCAGCUUGGGAACAAGGCAGUCCUUCAAGGACAAGGUCAGAUCACAGCAGCGGGCACAGACCCUGGUUCUGGUCCUGCAUAUGCCCCCAGUGUCUCCCUGUUGUGCCCCUGGCCCUCCCCGGACUUCAGUUUCCUCAUGUAUAAAAGAGAGGGUUUUACUGGAUGAACUCAAAUUCCCUGUCAACACUAAGAUUUUGAUCUGAGGAGCAGACAGACAAGGGAUGGGCGUGGAUCCCACAGAAUGUGAACCCUGGAGAGGACCCCCCUGAGAGGGCAGCCAGCCUAUUCCUUCAAUUCACGGUUGAGGAAACUGAGGCCCGAAGCUGGAGAGAUGCUUGUCCAAGGUCACAUGACUGGCUACUGGCAGCCCCAGCACUUGAACCAGGGUCUCCUGACUCCCAGGCCUCUCAACUCUUUCUCUUUCAACUCCCUCAAGAAGCUAGGAGCUAUUUGGCUGUCUGGGCCAGGGAAGCCAAGAGUGGCUGUGCAUGUCAGCAGUGGGGCCUCAGAGCCUGAGAACAUCUCUGACAGCGUAGGUGCAAGUGGCAAAGCCGCUGGUGGGGAGGGACCGGGCUGGGAGCCAGGGAGGGUGUACUGGAGAUAAGCUGUCAGCAUCUCCCUUCUUCCAGAUGGCAAGAAGAAACAUAGAAGGGUCCAUGAUGAUUGAGGGGAAACAGUCCCCUUUUCUGAUUGAGCCAUUGCUCCACAGAGGACUGGCCUCCCUCUCUGCCCCCUCUCCUCUUUCUCUCUCUCUUUCUCUCUUUCUCACACACACACACACACACACACACACACACACACACACACACUCUAUUUAGCUGCUGUAUUCUGCCACCUGCAGUUUCAGUCUCAAGAUGUGUACUGACAUUCUCAGGUGUACUAUUUGGUGGGGCUUGGAGUUCCUUUCGCUGCCUGAGCUGCCUCUGAGCUCCUGCCUACCUUCUAAUGCUUAGCCUGCUUGGCUGGCAUCAGGAGACCUUCCCAUUCCACAAACAUUUUUUGAGCACCUGGUUUGUGCCAAACACUGUGUUAGGCACUGGGGGUGGGUAGGAUAUCGUCACUGCCUGUGGGAUGGGAAUUAACCAUCUGGUGGGCUCACUGAAGAAAACCCACUAACCAUGCAAGUGGGGUUGGCUAGGGAGCAUUUCUCAGAGAGUCCUGACUUUGACUUGAAUCUUGAAGGCUAAGGGAGAGUUCACUAUGUAGGAGGGGGGACAUGCCAAGGAGAAGCAGUGCAUAGGGAAAGGCAGGGAUGUAAGAUGAAGCCUGGUCUGUUAGGGGGAAUGACAAGUAACUUAUGUGGUUGGAGUUUGGAUAGGAAUGGGGUUAUGGAAGGAGAUGAGGCUGGAGGGGUAGGCUGAGGUCAAUUAAUGGCGUGCUUAGCUCUAGUCAGCUCCUUUUCUCAGAAAGAAGGACCCGUUCCCCACAUCUAAGCCACCAGCUGGCCCUGGAGGGGACAGACUAUUUAUCAGGAAUUCUGAGACUGAUGUCCUCUGGUCAAUUGCAAGGAGUCAUUUGUGUGAGGAGGAAGUGGCAUGCUCUUAAUCUCCAUCAACCCACCCAAAGUCAUUCCAAAUGAACACCAAUCGACACGAAGCCAGUGAAUUUGCCAUGCUUAGAAACAAUCCCCUCCAACCAGUCUGUCCCCCAACAUGGCUCCUCUAUUAUAGAAAUUGCGGAACUGCUAAUAGAGCAAGUCUUGCCCGGCCCCUGUCCUGAUGCCAUGACCCACCAACCCAACUAUGUCCCUUCUUCGCCAACCCUUUCCCCAGGUACCUCUAUUGUCUGAAUUCCCCCCUCUCUCUGGACCCCUGGAGACUCAGCCCCCCAGUCAGGCUCCUGUCCCCUAGUCUCACUCGUCCUGGGCCUCAGGUCCCUCUGUAAUCCCACAAGCUCAUGUUGCUGAAGUUACAUCAUGCCUGAGUAUCAUAAUAUACAUAUCCAAGCCCACGCACUCUGCAGCCUCCCUCAUAGCUCUGCCCCAUAGAGAGGUAAGCCAUAUGGGCUUGAUGUCAAACGGAUAUUCUGGGGAGUGCCCUGUGCAUUUCAGCCAUCGUUCACUGAACAUCUUUUUGUCAGGCAUCAGCAUUGCCAGGAAGAAUAAGGCUUAUUCCCUGCCCUCAAGGAGUGUCCAGUGUAGUAGGAAAGGCAGCAACACCUAUCAUGGUAAGUGCUGUGACUGAGAUAAUCUCAGGGAGCAAUGUGAAUACAAGGGCAGAGCACUCCAGGCUGGGAAUAUGGGACAGUUGGUCAGGGAAGAUCCUAGAGAGGAUUCUAUCUGAGUGGGGUCUGGAAGGCAGGGCAAGUCUCAGCUCAGAGAAGGUGGAAAAGAUGGUGAGGAAGAGGCACAGUGAUGACUACUAGAGCCAAGUUUGCAAAAAUUAAAUCACACCAGGGUCUACCCCAUUUCCUUUUUUGGAUGGGGUCCCUGAUCAGAGAAAUUUUGUCAGAUUUUUGAAUGAUAGUUGAAUGAAAUUCAAGUGAUAUUUAAUGUGGAUAGGCUGGGGAAAAUACAGAGCCUACAGUAAGGCAAUUAUGUGGGGAAACAAUUACUCCCCACAUUGAAGGAUGGAUGGAGGUCACUGAGAUCUAUAGUAGCACAUGAGACAGGGCUGGGGCCUGUGCAAGACUUCUCACAAUUUGGAUGAAGUCAGAAAAAGCAUUUUUAUCAAAUUAUCACAUGACAUAGCACUGGAGGGAUAAAUGAGAAACUGGAGGAUAGAAGCAAGAUUUAUACUGAUACAGAUAAGUUGAGAUUUAAUAGAGAUAAGUGAAAAAGUCUUGCAUCUUAGUCCAAAAAAGGCAAUAAUUAAAGAAUGAGAGACACUUGCUUCGAUAGCAGUUCAGUGA
Long non-coding RNA from Lagenorhynchus albirostris (white-beaked dolphin), 8282 nucleotides. RefSeq lists it as uncharacterized. The transcript has 3 exons. The record is from RefSeq and is a predicted model, not a curated record. Lineage: Eukaryota; Metazoa; Chordata; Mammalia; Artiodactyla; Delphinidae.